Molecule: ribosomal RNA, 542 nt
Filed under: uncultured bacterium
Lineage: Bacteria
Description: bacterial SSU rRNA
Rfam family: Bacterial small subunit ribosomal RNA
Source: RNAcentral
CUGGCUUAGGACGAACGCUGGCGGCGUGCCUAAUACAUGCAAGUCGAACGGUCUUUCUAUGGAAGCUUGCUUCCACUGAGAAGAUAGUGGCGAACGGGUGAGUAACACGUGGGUAACCUGCCCAUAAGAGGGGGGAUAACAUCCGGAAACGGGUGCUAAUACCGCAUAGGUUUUUCUUUGGAAUUCGGCACGUAGUAGUACGGAAAGGAAAAGACGGCCUUUUGUGCUGUCGCUUAUGGAUGGACCCGCGGCGUAUUAGUUAGUUGGUGAGGUAACGGCUCACCAAGACGAUGAUACGUAGCCGACCUGAGAGGGUGAUCGGCCACAUUGGGACUGAGACACGGCCCAAACUCCUACGGGAGGCAGCAGUAGGGAAUCUUCCGCAAUGGACGAAAGUCUGACGGAGCAACGCCGCGUGAGUGAAGUAAAGGUUUUCGGAUCGUAAAACUCUGUUGUCAGAGAAGAACAAGUUGGAGAGUAACUGCUCCAGCCUUGACGGUAUCUGACCAGAAAGCCACGGCUAACUACGUGCCAGCAGCCGC